RNAcentral lists this long non-coding RNA (649 nucleotides) under Struthio camelus australis. Its description in RNAcentral is "lncRNA (ENSSCUG00000017008.1)". The record is from RNAcentral. Lineage: Eukaryota; Metazoa; Chordata; Aves; Struthioniformes; Struthionidae.
ACAGUUUUGGAUACGGCAUCUGAUGAACAAAAAACACAUUUAUUUAACUUUUCUUUCUUCUUUCCAAACAAAGCAAUGCUGCUGGACUGAAAAAAACCACAGAUGAGUGUCAACUAACGGUGAUGAGAGCGACUUACUCUCCAGCAUCAUCUCCUAGACCAGGAAGUCUGGAUAUCCAAGCGCUUAAGGACAGUCUAAUCCCUUCUUCUCAUGGGGUCAUCAAGCAGGUUAGUUUGCUUUGCCACUUCAGCAAAAGAAAUGGAGGGAACUUUUACGUACAAACUGACUGAAUAAGUUUCAGGUGUAUAAACUUCCUGACCAAAAAAAGGAAUCAUGUAACGCGUUUCAGAUACUUCUAAGAAAAGUAUCCAGAGCUCUUAGCGGUAUGGAGGAUGCAGAUUUGAUGCCUCUCUCAAGUUAUGGGAGCUGUGGUUUGAACACUCUGAAGGAAAUGAGUUCCCUGCUCACUGGGCUAGAAUAUAUUGAAAUAGACGUGCUCUCAGCCCAGCACUGUUUUGCUCCAGAAGCCUGUUAUCCUAAUUACCAGCAUCUUGAAGGCAAAACUGCAAGAGUCUGUCACUGCCAAUCCAUGCUCCAAAGAGAAGUAGCGGAGAGAACAAGGGGAGAAGGUAAGAAAAAAACGAUAUAA